AGAUUAAGCAUUGUAUUUUUUUUAGUUAAAUAACAUUAACAUGAUGGUAUUUAAGGUUUAGUGUUUAGGGUUUCAACUCAGUUUUGCCCUGCCCACCCUAAAUAAAUAAAAAAAUUAAAAAUAAAAAAUAAAUAAAAGUCCAUUUACAAAAUAUGCUAGCCCAAAUAUAAAUAAAACCCUAAAUGCCCAAAUAACUCAAAGCCCACAACCUAAACUCUUUCAGAAAACUAAAAAAAACCCUAGACCCUUUGAACUGCCACUCCUUGCCACGUCAGCAGGUACUUCGCCCGAAGACACCCGCACCCCGAGGUAUGCCACUUUGCCAUUGUUUCAUCGAAAUGGCUAAGGAGCAACUCCCAUCGUCGCUGUUGACCUUCCAAAUACCUGCAAAGAAAAGAGAGAAACAGCAAAAAGCAAAAAUGACAGAGAAAAAAGAAAAAUAAAGGAUUUUGUAAUAUAUGGCUAUAAAAGCCAUAACAAUGGCAUGUAAACUUUACACAGAAAAUACGAAGAACAAAAAAAACACUAAAAAGAAAAAGAAAGAUGAUUUUUUUAUUUUUGUUUUUUAUUUCGAAAAAAUAAUAAAUAAAAAGAUAACAAAUCAUUUUUUUACUUGAGUCGUUUCACCUCCCUCCAUUGUUGGAGGUCUUCUCCGGCAUCGAAAACCCCAGAACCUUUUUAGGGUUUGGCUUGGGCUUUAAUGAAAUAAGGUGUAAAAGGCACGUCGGCUAGGUAAAAGGGCUGAAAGUUUCCUUUUUUUUUUGCGAACAGAGGGCUUUGCCUUCAGAUUUGGUUGAAAAGGGGCUGAAAAGGCUCAUUUUUGUGUAACUCCAGCCACCGAAGACGACCGAUGGCCAUGGCGCGCUUCCAACGGCUCUAUGGCCAGACCUUAGGGCGUGUUUCAGAGAAAAAAUGGGAAAGAAAUUUUUAAAAAAAACACAGUAGAAAUGUUUUUUUUUUGAAAAUUUUAACUUAUAUAGGGCCUUGGUACAACGUCAUUUUGGCUUGACUUCAGAAACCCCAAAACGACGUCGUUUUGAAGCGGGACCCGAUUACUUGACUCGAACCGCACAAGAUCCGCGUGUUUUUAUAUGGGGGAUUUAUUUAUUUACUUAGUCCUUCCCAUUUUUAAUUACUUUUCAAUCCAAUCUUGCUUUUUUUUCCUUCUUAAAGUUUAUACCAUGUGAUUUUGGAUUUUUUUUGUUUUGGUCCCUCUUGGAACGGUGCGUUUAGAGGGUCUGGGAAUAAUUUCCCUUGAUCCCUACUCUUUUUUGUGCGUUCUGUUUUUGUUUUUUAUUAUUAUUUGUUUAUUACUUCUUUACUUUUUUUAUAUAUUUAAAAAUUUAUAUUGUUUAUAUUUCCUUUUAUUUGUGCAUUUUUUCUCGUAUUGUUAUUAUUAUUUUUAUCGUUCAUGUUAAUAUUAUGAUGAUAACCAUGACAUGAUUACUGCUAUUAUUAUUAUAAAUAGGUGUAUUUUUAUUAUCGUUAUAGUUGCUUAUUAUAAUUCACGAGCAUAACUUCUUUAUUUUCUUAUUCUGUUUAUUUAUUUAUUUAUCAUUUUGAUAUUAUUAUUUCAUUUUCUUUACAUUCUACCAUUUUACCUUAUUUUGCUAAUCACUAUGCUAUCAUGUUAAAAUCUAUUUAUCCGUUUUUACACCAUGCCUAAAUAAAUUAAAUAUAUAUAAUUUAAAAAUUUACCUUCGUUAUCUAACAAAUAGAAAAUACUUAAAACCGAGGCAAUGUUCAUUAUUUUUGGAAUUUGGGGAGUUGUGCUCCUAACUUACAGAGUAUGGCAUCUUUCUAAAACUGAAGUAAUAAAAUAUCCUAUUUAAAAUAAGAAAAAAAAAAGAUUUAGGUAACGAUCAAAUGACGAUUAUUCUUAUUCUUGAUUAACUCAGAAUAAGGCAUUUUCUAUUAAAUUUAAUUUAGUUGAGUAAUGCCUUAAUACAAAAAGGGAUUCUGUUUUAAAUUCUCUUCAAAUUUUCAAUUCUAGACACUAAGAUAUUGAAUAAUCAACUAGAUACUAAUUUUGGGCGACAUGAUGGUGCUAAUCAUUCCUCAUGCGUAACCGACUCCUGAACCUAUUUCUUGGAUUUUGUAGACCAAAAAUUAUUAUUUUAGUAAAUUAAACCUUUUAUUAAAAUGAUUUAAUUACGAGGUAAUCCGAUCACACCUCAUAAAAAUGAUUUGUGGUGACUCCAUUUUUCGUUUUUUAAAAUAAAAGUCGAUUUCCAAAAAAAAAGUUUUGAUAGCUUGGCGACUCAACUGGGGACAAAAUAAAAGAGUUAAGCUGCAAGUUGAUUACUUUUUGUUGAAAGUUGAUAAUUUAGUUUAAGUUAAUGAUCCCUAAAUUGCGUUUCAUCCUUCAUGUUUCGUCUUUGAUAUCUCGAGUUACAUAGCGAUAUAGUACAUCUAUUUUAUUGGCCUGAGAGUUUCUCUUUGUAUGUUUUCACAUAUACUGCAUUGCAUAUUCGUUCCAUUUUACCCUCUUUAAGUAAGAGUGAGAAGAUAAUUCUUCGUGAGGUAUUCACCUUCAUAUAUGAUAGUGGAUCGCUUUGGGGACACAUCCAUACUUAUGUCACCACGAGGUCUUCACAUUCGUAUAGCCAUAGGGAAAUGUAUUCCGUUGAACCAAACUUGGUCCGUAUGAGCCUAUAAUGGGGGACGAUUGAAGAAUCUACCGGUUUAGGUACCCUUAUGUUAGAACCGAACCAUAUAUAAUAAGCUCUAAGAACCUACCUUAGGUAUAAGCAUACCAAACCCCUAGUGGUUACCCGAAUUGAUGUUUUAUUUAUUAUUUCUUACUUUGUAUUCUAGCUUUGUAUGAAAUGUACUAACUUAUUUCGUUGUGUUUUGGUUGUAAUUGCAUUACAUUUUCAUCAUAAAAAAGGUUAUUGAUUUACGUUCAGUUGUUAAAUAAAGAGAUUGUCAUGGAAAAAUAAUUUCUUGAUAAAAUAAAAAACAAUGUAACCGUACAAAUAUGGUCUAAGAAGACACAACAAGAGAAGGGUGACAGCCUAACGAAGGAAUAUAUGUUAGAACUAUGAGAUUUCGCUUACAUCAAUGUAACUCAGAAUAAUCUUUAAGAGUUGAAAAAAAUAUGAGACCAAUUGGAUGAUGAAACCAAGCAGUUAUUCUACCGUGAAAAUGGUGAUUUGCCUUAUUUACUCGAUGUCAAAUUGAUAAGUGCUUAUUCCGAGAUCUUACCCAGUAUUGGAAUCCUGCCUAUAGCUGCUUCACUUUUGAGAAGAUAGACUUGGUGCCAACCGUAGAAAAGUACACAACUCUACUACGUUACCCGAGAAUCUAAGUCGACAAAGUUUAUUCUAGAGUUGCCAACGUGUCGACUUUCUUAAAGAGGCUAAUAAGCAUAACUGGGAUGAACGAGUAAUGGGUCGCGACCCGGAUUAAAAAAAAGGGAGAUAGUAAAUGCAUCCCUUGGAAAAGUUUGCAGGAUUUGAUCUUGGCACAUCCGGAUACAAAGAAAAGAGUUGACAUCUUUGCUUUAAGUAUUUAUGGGUUGGUCAUCUUCCUCAAAACACUAGGACAAAUAGAUAAUGCAGUUUCAUAUCUAUUUGACCGGUUUAACAAAAGGGUUAAACCCGUUCAACAAUCUAAAACUUUCAGAUCUUUAAGUGCAUGUUGAAGAGCAGGUGAAUGAAGAUUUAUCGAUCUGCACAACUCUUGUUAGCCUAGUUCCAUAACCACUUUUGGAAGGUAAAAAAGGUUUCUUAUUGAGUGUUUUCUAUAAACUACUUUCCAUUAAAAGAAUUAGUGGCUAUUCCAAGACGAGACAACAUUUCUAAAGAAAAGUAGAUGGUAAUUCUUUAGAGUCUCCAAGAUGAAGAAGUUGAAUGGAUGGCCGAUUGGAUGAUCCCUGAUGAAAUUUUGUACCGAUAUAGAGACUUUGACUGGGUUCCUCUACUCGGGAUAUGGGGAGCUGUUGGAUAUGCCCCUCUACUUAUAUUAAGGCAAUAUAGGUCGAAGUAGUUUAUACUGGCAAAGAAGGGUUGGCUCAAUGUGAGUUUACGUACAAAGGUGAUAAUUACAAAAAAAAGUUUGUGAAAAGAUUUACCACAGAUCCCAUGACAACCCUUGAAUAUGAUUGGUGGUAGGGUAAAUGAAUCAAUGACAAUGUCCCUUCAUAAAGUUAAGAAAACACUCGGCCAAUAAAAGAACAGUUGCAAGUGAUCUCAUCUGAGUUAGAGAUUGUGAAGUAAGACUUAAAAAAAAAUAUUUCGGAGCCAGGGAAAAAGAUAUAAAGGUUGGAAGAAGAAAAGAUCCAGCUAAGGUUAGAUGUCACCAUCCAAAAAUUAAAAGCUGAGAAAUUAAGAAAAUGAAAGAACAAGGCUGAGGAAGAUUCUGCGUCUGUUAAUGAGGAUUGCCCGAUUGGGUAAAACAUCAAAACAAUGACAUCAAGAAAUCCAAGAAGAAAAGGUUAGAGCUUAUCAGUGGGAAAAGAAAUUUCAAGAGACUCGAACCUAAGAAGAUGCUCUAAAAAGGGAUUUGUUAAAAAAGCCAAAAUGAAAAUGUUACGUUUUCUUGACUUUAUGAAAGGACUUUUCAUUGAUUUGUUUACCUCACCACCAAUCAUAUUUGGGGGUCGUAAUGGGAUAUGGUUCAAAUCUUUUCGUUUUGUGAGUUUGGUUCCAAGCGUUCGAUAUUUCAUGGACCUUCUUUUUGUAAUUAUCACAUUUGUACGCAAACUCACAUUGAGCCAACCCUUGUGUUACUGGUAUAAACUUCCCCGACUUAUACUGUUUCAAUACAAGUAGUGGGAUAUAUCUAAAGCUCCCCAUAUCCAGAGUAGAGGGACCCAGUCGAAAUUUCCACAUCGGUACAAAAUUUCAUCAGGGAUAAUCUAAUGGGCCCUCCAUUUAACGUUUUUGUCUUGAAGACUUUAAAGAAUUGUCAUCCACUUUUCUUCAGAAAUGUCUUGUCUUGGAAUAGCCACAAAUUCUUUCAAUGGAGAGUAGUUUUUGGAGGACACUCGAUAAGAAACAUUUUCUACCUUCCAAAAGUGGCUAUGGAGCUAGGCUAACAAAAGUUGUGCACACUUGAUAAAUCUUCAUUCACUUGCUCUUCGGCACGUACUUAAAAAUUUAAAAGUUUCAGCCAAAAUUGUUGGGACGGGCGUGACCAUUUUGUUAAAUUAGUUAAAUAGAUCUGAAAUUACAUCAUCUAUGUUGUAAUACCCCAUACCCGUACCUGAGACAGGGAUAGGAUACGAGGCAUUACCGAGAUUUUCAGAAUAAUUUCAAUUAAUUUUUAUUAUUUAAUAUUCAUUUUCAUGUUUCAUGUAACAUCCUUUUCAUAUAUUCAAUUCAAAAUAUCAUAUAAAAUACGAUACAAUACUUAAAUUGUCAUAUUUACAAUGUUCAUUCAGGAUAUACGAACCUACCUGACUAAAUUGCAGAAAUACCAAGAUUUAGGGGCAUAUUGGUAAUUUACCAUUUUCCCAAAUUUCACCCAAUCUUAAAUUGAUAAUUUCAUUGCAUAUAUUAAUUCAGAUAAUAAAACAAUUCAUUCCUUUCAAUUUAGUCAUUUUUGACAUUUUUACAAAAUUACCCAUAAAGUUUUACUUUUAUUCAAUUUAGCCCUUGAGCCAAAAACAUACAAAUUAGCCAUGCUAGCUAAAUAUUCAUACAUAUUUUUCCUCCUCCUCCUCUCCAUUCCACAUCCUUGGUAUAAACAACACACUUGUAGGUAACAUUAUCCAUAAUUUUCACUAUCUACUUAUGUGAAUAUUCAAGCUGUCCAUCUGUGUCAUAGUCACUAAAUUAUUUUUAUCUUGAGCUACAGAACUCCAAAUUAAGAUCCUAUAAUUUUCCCUGAAACUAGACUCUUAUACCUUCUUACCAUAAAAAUUUCAUAAUUUUUGGUUGGGCCAAUUAAUACAGUUUAUUCAUUAAAGUCUCCCCUGUUCUGCUGUCUGACAAUUCCGACCCUUCUUCACUAAAAAUUAAUUAUCUUCUUGUACAGGAUUCAAAUGAUGUCUUCGUUUGUUUCUCUUGAAAAUAGACUCAUUCAGGAUUCUAAACAUAUAAAUUUAAGCCCCUAAUUAUUUUUAUCCAAUUUUUUAUGAUUUUCUAAAGUCAGAAUAGGGGAACUCGAAAUCAUUCUGACCUUGUCUCACAAAAGUUAUUAUAUCUCAUAAUUUACAAUUCAAUUGCUUAUAUAGUUUCUUUCAUAAGAAACUAGACUCAAUAAGAUUUAAUUCUAUAUUUUAUUCAUCCUCUAAUUAAAUUUCUACAAUUUUUUGUGAUUUUUCAAACUUAAACUACUGCUGCUGUCCAAAAUAGUCUUAGUGCAAAAUGUUGAUUUUCUACUUUUAAUUUCAAUUUAAUCCUAACUAAAUUCACUUACUUUUCUAUAUUAAUUCAUACUUUGCUUCUACUCAAUUUUUAACCAAACUUACACAUAAUUAUCUAUUUUUCAUCAUAAAACCAUAAUUUCGAAAUUCUUUCAAUUUAGUCCUUAAAGCAUAAAACUUAUGAAUCACUUUACAAUUCAAUCCUUAUUUCAUUUCUAACUUGAAUUUCUAUCAAUUUAUCCCUUAAUUCAUCUUUUUUGUUCAAUAAGAACAAUGUCUUAUAAUCAACUAUCUUACAAUAAAUCAACUUAAUUUCAUCAAAACCUUGUUCUAAAGUUUCUAAAACAUUAAAAUUAAGUAAAAAGGGCUAAAUUGACAUACCUAUUUAAAUCUCAAGCUUCAAACCUUGAAUUUUCCCUUUCUUCUUUCUUUUCUCCUCUCUUUCUUUCUUUCCCUGCUUUUCGUUUUGCCUAUUCU
RNAcentral lists this long non-coding RNA (6790 nucleotides) under Gossypium barbadense (sea-island cotton). Its description in RNAcentral is "long non-coding RNA (GBAR_LNC013009)". Lineage: Eukaryota; Viridiplantae; Streptophyta; Magnoliopsida; Malvales; Malvaceae. The record is from RNAcentral.